AGCCUCUUUCCUUGGCGUGGUCCUAGCUCCCCGCACCGAUCCCGCUCCCCGCGGGUGACCCAGCCCAGAGCUCAACCUCAUACAUACUAAAUGCUUUAGAACACCUGCCUGCCUCUUCCCCCACCCUCCGCAACUGACAGUCCGAAACCGGAAGCAAGCUUCGGGCGGCCCGCCCACGACCGGAAGCGGAAGCGCGGAGUCUCGCAGUGGGAGGAACCGCGAGUGGCGCUAAGCCCUGCGGGUCGGACUGUCUCUAGGAGCCGGAGCCCUUGGCCCGCGGCUGAGACCGAACGCGGCGAGCAGCAGACAGGUGCUCGGGACCCAGCGCCUGCGUGGCCGCUGCAGAGACCCCUGUACCCCCCGCAGGGGGCCAGCCUGCACCUCGGGGGACUUGGCCAAGUCUGGACCCAGUUCUGCUUGUCACAGAUUGGAGGUAGAGCCAGUGCUCCUGUCAUCUAGCGGGUGAAAGCCAGAGACGCUGCCCUACAUCCUAGAAAGCACCGUGCACCGCCCCACAACAAAAGAAUUACCUGUGGUCCCUCGGCUAGGAAGCCCUGCUGUGGGGCUUUAUGAUCACCCA
Molecule: long non-coding RNA, 580 nt
Filed under: Cavia porcellus (domestic guinea pig)
Lineage: Eukaryota; Metazoa; Chordata; Mammalia; Rodentia; Caviidae
Description: lncRNA (ENSCPOG00000035252.1)
Source: RNAcentral